AAGGUGAUUAUUGUCUUUGGAACAAGAAGAGAUUUGUUUUGCUCAAACAGGUAAAUGCCAGAUCUCCUGGCCAUGGCAGCAGCACACACAUUGCCAGCAGGUCCUCUAAUCUCUCCCUUUGCGGCCUCCUCAUGUCUGCAGUCCUUUGUAUCGGUGUGCUCCCUGAGGUGAACGAAUAAUGCCACCUGCAGCCCAGCCCAGCCAAACUAACUCUUCUUGAGGCAAACACUACCUUACAUACUGGUCGUGUUCAUCAUCCCUACAUCCUCUCCCAAAUCCCAGUGGAAAAGUGCUAAUUGACUUCUAGCACCAAGGCAGCCACUGUUCCACGGUCGCACCUAACCUCUAGGUUGGCACGAUGUCCAAAUCCUGCAUUUACAGGAUUGCCUCUAGCUAACCUCAGGAGCCUUAUUGCUAAACUACUCGAGGCAUUCCUGGUCGUCUUAAUCUAUCUCCAUGACCGUGUAAUCCCCCCUCUGGAGUGCUCACCCCACACCAGACAUUCCUGUCUGCGUACAGAUGUGCCACAGGGAUUGCAACACAACAGCUGUCUGCCCCUGGUCGUGUCAGUGUUCAGCACUCCUGGUCUCACCGCUCCUGUCUCGGGUCACAAACCAUUUUGAAAUACCUCACAAACCUCUCCUACGCUGUGUCUGCACCAUGGAGAUGUGACGGCACAACCAGCUGCAGAACCGUUCACCUCUGGGCACCACCUGGACGUGGUUGCAAUGGUCAGCAAGGAGUGUGCACAGACACAGGCCUUGUGUUUCCCGUGUAACCCAAAAGCUGAGUGGGAACAGCCACCAUGGCCCACAAUAAACUGCCACGUGAUUUACUGGGGGUUCAAGGAGCUACGAAACCUGUGGGACACACCACUGAAGGACUGUCUUUGGGUGUCUACAUGGCAGAGCAGGACUCUCUGCAUGGACUUCAGCUGGGCCAUUCGCAGGUGGAACUGGCAGGUCUGGAACCCUAUCGGCAUUGCAGAAGAGAAACAGGAGCAGGUGCCUGAUGCCUUGGUGCUGGAGUGCUGCCAAAAUUCUCACCUACAAAGUCAACAGCAGCGAGUUCCUUUCAUAGAUGUGUUUCAUCUUCUGUGUGAUGUGUGGAAGAGUUAUUCGGGGCACACUGAGCCUGUGUGCUGUGUUUGUAUAGCUGAAUCAUGGCUUCUUGCAACAGGGACUUGGAACUGACUUUAAAUUCAGUCCACCCUAUGUGAGCUUAAUUCCACAUUUAUUAUUACGACAUCUGAAUAUGCAACAUCAAGGCAAGAAGCACUCAAAUGUAAGACACGGCAGCAUGUGCUGCACGAGCAGCCACGCUCCUAAGGACUAAGGAGGCAGCAGGAGAAGAUAAAAAGGUGAAUAGGGCAACUAUACAAGCAAACU
Molecule: long non-coding RNA, 1388 nt
Organism: Cygnus olor (mute swan)
Lineage: Eukaryota; Metazoa; Chordata; Aves; Anseriformes; Anatidae
Exons: 3
Source: RefSeq, a predicted model, not a curated record